Molecule: ribosomal RNA, 1726 nt
Filed under: Lactobacillus delbrueckii subsp. bulgaricus
Lineage: Bacteria; Bacillati; Bacillota; Bacilli; Lactobacillales; Lactobacillaceae
Description: partial 23S ribosomal RNA
Rfam family: Bacterial large subunit ribosomal RNA
Source: RNAcentral
CGGUAAAACGCGCUGGAGGACCGAACCCACGUAAGUUGAAAAUUGCGGGGAUGAGUUGUGGGUAGCGGUGAAAUUCCAAACGAACUUGGAGAUAGCUGGUUCUCUCCGAAAUAGCUUUAGGGCUAGCCUCGCAAAGAGGAUGCUGGAGGUAGAGCUCUGUUUGGACUAGGGGCCCGUCAAGGGUUACUGAAUUCAGAUAAACUGCGAAUUCCAGACAUUUAUGUGCGGGAGUCAGACUGCGAGUGAUAAGAUCCGUAGUCGAAAGGGAAACAGCCCAGAUCACCAGUUAAGGUCCCAAAAUUCAUGCUAAGUGGAAAAGGAUGUGGAGUUGCGCAGACAACUAGGACGUUGGCUCAGAAGCAGCCAUCAUUCAAAGAGUGCGUAAUAGCUCACUAGUCGAGUGACGCCGCGCCGAAAAUUUACCGGGGCUAAGCAUGAUACCGAAACUGUGGAUGUGCAUUUAUGCACGUGGUAGGAGAGCGUUCUAGCGGCGGUGAAGCAUGACCGAGAGGACAUGUGGAGCUUCUAGAAGUGAGAAUGCCGGUAUGAGUAACGAAAGACAGGUGAGAAUCCUGUCCGCCGCAAGACUAAGGUUUCCUGGGGCAGGCUCGUCCGCCCAGGGUAAGUCGGGACCUAAGGCGAGGCCGAGAGGCGUAGUCGAUGGACAACAGGUUGAAAUUCCUGUACUGCACCGAAUCGUUAUGAGCGAUGGAGGGACGCAGGAGGCUAGCAGCGCGUGGUGCUGGAUACCACGUUCAAGCGUCAAGUCUGAGAGUGAGUCAAAUGCUUGCUCUCAUAAGGACAAGGCGUGAUGAGGAGCGAAAUUAAAGUAGCGAAGGCUGCGACGUCACACUGCCGAGAAAAGCUUCUAGCCAGAGACGGUGCACCCGUACCGCAAACCGACACAGGUAGUCGAGGAGAGUAUCCUCAGGUGAGCGAGAGAACUCUCGUUAAGGAACUCGGCAAAAUGGCCCCGUAACUUCGGGAGAAGGGGCGCUGGUCGCAAGAUCAGCCGCAGUGAAAAGGCCCAAGCAACUGUUUAUCAAAAACACAGGCAUCUGCAAAAUCGUAAGAUGAAGUAUAGGUGCUGACACCUGCCCGGUGCUGGAAGGUUAAGAGGAGAGCUUAGCGCAAGCGAAGGUUUGAAUUGAAGCCCCAGUAAACGGCGGCCGUAACUAUAACGGUCCUAAGGUAGCGAAAUUCCUUGUCGGGUAAGUUCCGACCUGCACGAAAGGUGUAAUGAUUUGGGCACUGUCUCAACGAGAGACUCGGUGAAAUUAUAAUACCCGUGAAGAUGCGGGUUACCCGCGACAGGACGGAAAGACCCCAUGGAGCUUUACUGCAGUUUAAUAUUGGGUAUCUGUCAAGCAUGUACAGGAUAGGUAGGAGCCGGAGAAGAUAGGACGCCAGUCUUAUCAGAGGCGCUGUUGGGAUACUACCCUUGCUUGACGGAUGCUCUAACUCAGGUCUGUGAUCCAGGCCGAGGACAGUGUUUGACGGGCAGUUUGACUGGGGCGGUCGCCUCCUAAAGUGUAACGGAGGCGCCCAAAGGUUCCCUCAGAAUGGUUGGAAAUCAUUCGCAGAGUGUAAAGGUAAAAGGGAGCUUGACUGCGAGAGAGACAACUCGAGCAGGUACGAAAGUAGGGCUUAGUGAUCUGGUGGUACCGUAUGGAAGGGCCAUCACUCAACGGAUAAAAGCUACCCUGGGGAUAACAGGCUUAUCUCC